This is a long non-coding RNA of Hyaena hyaena (striped hyena), 1120 nucleotides long. RefSeq lists it as uncharacterized. The transcript has 8 exons. Lineage: Eukaryota; Metazoa; Chordata; Mammalia; Carnivora; Hyaenidae. The record is from RefSeq and is a predicted model, not a curated record.
UUCAGUGACUCUCAAGCACUCACUUUGAGCCAUUGCCCAAUAUUUGGAAUCCUGAUGAUGCCUUUCUCUGCCGUGUCCCUUAGAUUAUGGCUGUAUUAUUCACAUUGAAGGACAUUUCAUCUCGCUUAUAGAAAACUUAAAAGAUUGCUCACCCAGAACGUUUCCAUAGGGGUGCUGAAAAUUAUGGAAUAGCUGAAGACUGGAUUUAAUCAGACUGGUUUCAUAGAUACCUCACAGAGUAAGGAGUUUCCUGGCUAUUGAUGCUGUUAAGCAGAUGUUGGCGACCAUCUCCUCCAAAUGAAAUAGAGACGAUUCCUCCUUUUGGGGAAAUGGAGCUUCCUCCUGAGGGCUCAGAGGCAUGCUUUUGGUGAGCGCCACCUGCCACGUUCUGUGAUAUCUCACACACAGAGACUAACUCAAGCUCUGGCAAUGUCUGUGAGGGGUCCAAGCAUUUCAUUCCCACCCAAGAUGGGUCUUGUUCUCUGAAGUUGGCUAAUGGCUGAAGUCAUCUGUGCCAAGUGCAGAGUCCCACAAUGCUUGUCAUGAAGAGGGAGCUCAGCAAAUAACAACUCUGUCUGGACACCUUUUCCCCCGCAGCUGAAGGGAAAGUGAAAUAGAACCGAGAGCUGGCUGACAUACCAUGGAGCCCUGUAGAAGCCUGAAGAACAGGAGGGCAAAACCCUAGUCUCAGGAGCCUGAGCCACUCCCUCAAGCCACAGAUCAGAAACAAGGCAGGUUCUGGACACAGUGUCCAAUUUCAGGUGUUUUCCGGACAUCCCUAAACUGAGUUAAUGGAGAAGAAACUCCACAAGAUUUGGGAAGCUUCAAUCAAGGUCAUCUGAGAAGUAGGACCCAGUGUAUUACCAUUACUUAUGGGUGUCGACAUAGAGAUUUAUAGACAUGGGAAAGACUAGACAGUAAGAAUGCCUGUAAAGAGGCGCCAUGUUUCACCAGGGACUAAUGUCUUCAAGUUACCUUGCAAAUGUUAAGAAAUAUGCCUACUUAAUUGUAUGGUGCAUUUUCCAUGGUCUUUGCUUUAUUCAUUUCAUGUGCAUUUUGAUUAAAAAUUUUGCAUUUUAUUAUCUUUUAUGUUUUGCAAUAAAUACAAACCUGGACUGCU